CAAAAGAUACUAACACAUGUACGAUGAAAAGUCGAUUUAAUAGACAUGAUUAAUUUGACGUAUUUUGACAUCGACACCUGAUAAUUACUCGAUUUAAAUAAAAGGUACAAUAAUUAAACGAAAAGUGAUAGAAAAGAACAUGAAAAUGGUUAAAUUAUUGUGUAUAUAUAUAACAAGAACUACAAUUUAUAAGCUCAUUUAUUCAUUUUAUUUUUUCAAAUUAAAACCUUGGUAUUUUAAUAAUAUUAUACAUAUAUACACCAUCCUCAUCUUAACAACCUCCACCUCCACCUCCGUCGCCGCUAUCAACACCAGCUCCAGGUUGACCCUUGCGGCGACGACGACCCCCACAUAGGUUACAAAGCAUGACGACAGAUUAAAGCAACGAAAGAAGCAAGUAUUAUGCGGUUCUCAAAUAGAAAUAUAUUACUGUGGGAUUCAGGCAAUGGUUCUUUAUACUUAUUUAUACACAGUGGCAAUUGUCAAAAUAUGUCAAAGUCAAAAUUAGCGGGGAAAGACGGUACGGUACGGCACGGUAUUAAAAUUAAUUAAAAUAAAUUUCAAUUGCAAAAAAGAACACGAGAGGAAUUAAGAUUAGAAGAAUCUUAAGUUGCUGUGAAGCAACCUCCAAACAACUUAAAAAAUAAUAAGAAAUUAGCUGCUCAUGCUAACUAAUAAAAGAUUAGAAAUUUAAUUAACUUCAAAUUAAUAUAUACAACUUGUUGCGGUUGAUCACCGUGCUCCACCACGAUCGGAACGCAUCGCGAUCAAGAUGAACUGGAACCGCGAUCACGAUCGAAAUCAUUGGUUCUCUAUCACGAUCCCGGAACCACGAUCAAAAUCCAUCGUGAAACUGGAACUACAAUCAAAAUCCAUCACGGAAUUAGAACCCAUGGCGAUGGGUUUUCCGUCCGAGUCGGAACUGCUACAGGGAUCGCAAUGGGUUCCGGACGGAUGGCUGGAAAUCGGGCAGAAGGGACGGUGGGAUGAUGGUCCUUAGUCAUCCGGGUGGCCGAACCGCAUGAAAAACACGUCCUUAAUAUGUAAUCCGGAAGAUUUACUUGUAACUAAUUAACAACUAACAGUUUCGUAAAAAUUGAUGAAAUGGAAGAUUUACUUGGAUCCUUUAACAAAAUUCAAAGCCAUCAACCCUGCUGCGAAAGCCACAACAGACACUGCCAGAACCAUUAUCACCAUGAAUGCCAUUACGCGAGCUCCGCCUCCGUCCCCGGCCACUGAUAAUCUCAAGAGGAGUUCGCCGGGAAUUCGUGGACGGAAGUAAUUUAUGAAUAACAAUUUUAAAAAUAAAAGAGAUUUAACUGAUGCAAUUGGUGAACGAAAUGGAGAUAUGGGACUAAGGGAGUGAGAUUUAAAUAGACGUUUCAGGUGCGUUUGUACUUUGAAUGUGAUGUCGUGUGUCAUCAUGUUCAUUAAUAUUUAAUCUAAUGGUUAAAAUAAUGUAAAGUACAAGACACUAAUACAUAUACGAUGUAAAAUAAUGUAUUCCAAAAGAUACUAACAAAUGUACGACGAAAAGUUAAUCUAAUGGACAUGAUUGAUUUGACGUAUUUUGAACUCGGCACACCUGAUAAUUACUCGAUUUAAAUAAGACGUACAAUAGUUAAACGAAAAGUCAUAGAAAAGAACAAAAUAAUGGUUAAAUUAUUGUGUGUCAGUGUAUAUAUAUACACCUAGUUUCCAGAACGGCACGUCCGCACAGUGAUCACCGUGCGGUACGUGCAUCCGAUGCCAAUCAGACGGUCCCGACCAUAGUACAGUGUCGUCCACCAUGGUUGGACUACUGCCGUCUAGAUCUGGUGCAGUACCGUCCAAUCGACAUCAGAUAGUCAGAUCUGGUAUUCGCAUGAACGGACGUGUCGUUCUGAAAACGGAUCUUAUAUAUAGGGUCAGCUUCUAGUGAGAACUAUAUGAGAACUUUGCAUCUUGACCCUUACUGAUCGUGUGGUAUAAGAUAUAUACUGACCGUAUAGUUUAGUAUAAGGUAUUACAAACAACAACUUUUCUCCCCCCUCUACAUUUCACCCCUAGGGGUAUUUAUACAGUUUCCUACCGGUUCCCGGACCUUGCAUUCUCGGACUAAGAUCUGACCCGACGGACCCGACAAGGUUGGGAUGCAACCAUUGGGGAAAUAACCGUCCGGCCCGGUCGACCCGUCCGGGCUAAAACCCGUCGGGCGGCCUGGGUCUUACUCUUGUUUACUGGGCCUCGAUUCUGGAUUCUUGCAUGGGUCUGGGCUGAUGGACUAGGGGUACCAUCAGUACUCCCCCCUCCUUCCUACCCUAUAAAAGGGCUUCUUUUCUUCUUUUGACUCAUUUCUUCACAUUCAUCAUGUCUUCUCUUGAGCAUCUGCUGGAAGAGCUGAGGCGCGAGUUGGUGCAUCAGCAAGCUGCUUGGCCUGAGAAUUUUCUUCACCAUGUUGACGACGCUCGUGAAAUUGCUGCAGGUAAUCAUCGCCUUAAUCAUCUGGUUUCGGAGGUCCAGCACCGCGUUCGUGCUCUCUGGCGAGUUUCUAACGGGACCGGUAUUGUUAUUCCGACAACUGCAAUCGCUUAAGGUAGUCUUUUCUCUGCGCCCGGUGCUCCAUUUGAACUUCCUGUAACUGCUGCCGCCCCCGAUGGAGUUCCUGUAACUGCUUCCGCCCCCGAUGGGGUUCCUGUAACCGCCGCUCAUGAGCUUUCUUCUACUGGGCGCUCUGCUGCCCCUGCCGUUCGCCGUCGUCGGGGAUGCAGACAACGUGAUGGUCGUGCGCUCUCUGACCUCCCCCCGAACGAUCUACGUCAUUUCCUCUCUCGCGGGCCGACCUGAUGAGUGUCAUAAAUGUCCCCCUCAUGGGGGUCUAUUUGUAGUGGCUUUUCUUAAUAUGUAUUUGAAUAUUUCUGUCUCCCUGUAGCUUUCCUUACGACUUCAUCUGCGAAUGAGCUAGCGUGUUUUCUUUUGUCCUUACGCAUUGAUACUAUACCACUUUACUUUGAACUUUGUUUACGAUACCGUUUCAGUGAUGUAAUUUUUUAAUCCUUUGUUAUAAAAAACAUUUUACUUUUUUCCCUUGGGUUUUUUUUGCUUAAUCUUUUAUUCCCGGGCGUAACUGCUUGUUGAUCAGGGGUCCGACAAUUCCCUUCGAAUUUCAACUUACCGUCUGUCAUUUCUUACGGGUAUUACGGCCGUUCGGCUCUUGUCGCUUGUUUUCCAUACGGGCUACUUGACCAGCAGGUAUAACUUCUACUCCUUUAGGACUUCGUAGCUUUUAUUCAUUUCUAUCUUAUUCUAUUCAGGCUUUUGCCUUACGGUUUCUUUGUUCUGCCUCCCUCGAGCACUCAGGUUGUAUACGAUUCAUGGACUGGACUGUCCCGAUUUUUCCGCACGGACUUACUAGUCUUGGAACAUGUUGCCUUUCUACCCUUGCUGCCCUCUCUCCUUACGAGCUGUUCGAUCAUCAGGUAUAACUUUCACUAGGACCUCUUUCAUUUCUAUGGCUGAUUCUGUUAAGGUGCUUGCCUCACGAUUUGUUCUACCUUCUUUGAGUAUCCGGGGUGAAUAUGACUCGUGGACUGGAAUGCCCUUGCCCUGUCGUACGUGUUGGAUCGAGAUCCGAGACUAUAAGGGGGGAUAAUAGCCUCUUUUCGAUUAAUGCAAGUUAAUAGCGGAAUUACCUGCACACACUUAAGUACACAAAUGGUUGUAUAAUAAUAAUAGUAUAAUAUUGUUAGCAAUAUAAUACUAUUAUAUAAUUUUAAAGAAUAUAAUAUUAUAUAUUGGACUUGCCUUUUGCUCUUUAAGUUUACUACAGUAUAUGAAUACGUAAUCAACUUUUCAGAUGGUGUUUUAUAAACAACUAUAGUAUAUGAAUACUAAGUUAUAUUAUAAACACAAGUUAUAUUAUAGAGUAAAUGACCAGAUAACUGGAUAUAUGAUAAGCAAGUAAAUGACCAGAUAACUGGAUAUAUUGAUAAACAAGUAGAUGACCAGAUAACUGGAUAUAUAUAUGAUAAGUAAAUGCUUGAACAAAUAUGAAUAAAGCAAUGAAUAUAACCUCAGAUGGUUGACCAGAUAACUGGAUGAGGGAUCUGCGUAAAGUAGUCAACCUCUGUAUUUGACCAGAUAACUGGAAGAGGGAUCUUUUUAAUUAAGUGUUGUUUUUAGAUAAAAGAUAAAACUAUAAUUAACAUAGAACAACACAAGAGAUUUAUACUGGUUCACCCAAACAAGGGCUAGUCCAGUCCCGACCAACUGCCGGAAUUCACUCGCCUAAAGGUAAUGGCAAAACCUUUCUAAGCUUUAAGGCUACUUCGCUUAGGAACCAGUCUUUUACGGGUAGACUCACACCUUAGAGUAUCAAGGGCACUCUUAAGAACCUCUAACUUUUACGGGUAAGUUAGUACCUUAGAGUAUCAAGGAACUCUUAAAAACCUCUUAAAUCUUUAAAGGUAGACUCGACCUAAGAGUUUUCCCGGAAACUCUAUAAAACCAAACUAGAGCCUUAUGGUUGAGCUCACAAACCUUCUCUCACACUUUGGUACUAUUGAGACAACCCUCUCAACCAAAGUGGACAUACACAAGAGGUGAUUAGAGGAGUGGAAUAUUAAAGCAAAUAACAUUUCUUACUUGUAAAGAUGAACAAGAAGAUUAGAAGUAGAAGUUGGAGAGCUUUUGAAGCUUUGGAAAGCUAGGACACUUCAGCACUUGAAAGCUUGGAAGCUUGNNNNNNNNNNNNNNNNNNNNNNNNNNNNNNNNNNNNNNNNNNNNNNNNNNNNNNNNNNNNNNNNNNNNNNNNNNNNNNNNNNNNNNNNNNNNNNNNNNNNNNNNNNNNNNNNNNNNNNNNNNNUCUUCAAUGGAUGGCUCCUUGAUUUUUCACAAAAAUCCAAGCUUUGUCUUUGAUCUUAUCUUGAAUUCUUGGAUAGUGUGUUGGUCUUAUCUCUUUGGAUAGUGUGUUGUCCUUGAAGAAUCUUAUCUUUGAAUAAUUCAACCAUGAAUAGUAUUUUGUCCCCUUGGAAUAUUAUACCUUGAAUAAAGUGUCAAAAGAUAAUAAUAAUAAUAUUCAUGGUAAACAUGUAAUUAUUCCAAAUAAUAAUAUUCAAGGUGAAAAUGCAAUUCUCCCGAUUUGACUUUUUAACUUUGACUUAAACCCUUAACUCAAAUGAUUAAUUAAUUAACUGGAGUUAGGUUUAACAUCGAUUGACUUAUUUAACCCCUUUUGAUUAAUAGUGUAAUUAGGGUUUAAAUUGACAUGAUUAAAAUAUAAUCCUAUAUCGACAAUUUUGAUUCUACAUUCUCCCCCUUUGUCGAUGGCAUAUAUGUUUUAACUCAUGUCUAGUCAAUAUUCUAUUUUAUCCUUAUGAGCAUGCUCCCCCUGAAUUAUUGACCCAUAAUAUUCAAUUUAAAAGCAGUGGAUCAUGCAUGAUUUCUCCCCCUUAAAACAAUAAGGUAUCGACAAAGUUAACAAUAGAUACCUAUGAAGUAUCUCCCCCUUAAUGAUAGGACAUAUCUAAUUUGUGGAGAAAAUAAAAUUUCAUACCUCAUUGAGCUUUAAUCACAAAUUUGAUUUGUGUGGUUGACCAAAUGUGACGUCUUGCUUAUAAGAGUGUUAGUCAAUCAUAAAGGAGAAAUAACAUGUAAUUUAUGCUCAUUGAUUUAAUGAUUUAAGGAUAAAUUAAUUAAUUUAAUAUUUUUUAAACAAACAAACAAUUAAUUAAUUAAUCAUUUCAUGGAAAAUUAAUGAUUAUUAUUUCAAUUUAAAAUCAUUCAAUUUAAUAAUUAAUCAUUAUGAUUUCUAUAAUUUCAUGCAAAUUCUAUUCAUUAACAUUUCAAUUUAAUAAUUACUAAUUAUUUUAAAAAAUAAUAAUUUCAUGCAAAUUAUUAAUUAUUAUUUCAAUUUAAUAAUUAUUAUUAACAAAUAAUUAGCAAAUUAAUAAUUUUUACUUCAAUUUAAAAUCAUUCAAUUUCAUAAUUAUUCAUUAACAUUUCUAUAAUUUCAUGCAAAUUAAUUAAUCAUUAUUAAUUCAAUUUAAAAUCAUUCAAUUUAAUUAUUAUUAAUUAAUUAAUAAUUUUAUGCAAAUUAAUAAUUAUUGAUAAAAUUUAAAAUGAUUCAAUUUCAUAAUUAUUAAUUAAAAAUUUAAUAAUUUCAUGCAAAUUAAUUAUUAUUGAUAGAAUUUAAAAUCAUUCAAUUUAAUAAUUACUAAUUAACAAAUUUAUAUUUAUAUGCAUGCAAAUUAAUUAAAUAUUUUUAUAACAAAAUGAUUAAAUAAACAUUUAUAAUUUCAUACCGCAAUAGAGCUUAAUUCAAUCUGAAUUUCUGGAUUCUUGNNNNNNNNNNNNNNNNNNNNNNNNNNNNNNNNNNNNNNNNNNNNNNNNNNNNNNNNNNNNNNNNNNNNNNNNNNNNNNNNNNNNNNNNNNNNNNNNNNNNAACAACACAAUAAUUUAAUUAGUUAAUUAAUUAAAGCAUUAUAGAAAUUAUUUAUUUAAUCAAAUCAAUUUAUAAAUUAUUUAAAAAUAAUCAAUUAAAUAAUUAAUUAAAACAUUUAUAAACAGUAAAUUAAAUAAUUCAUAAAUAACAAAUAAUUAAUUAAAUAAUCAUUCAUUUUUAAACAAAUAAUAAUUUUAUUAAUAUUUAUUACAUAAGAAUUAUUUUAUAAUUUAAUGCAAAAUUUUCAUUAUUUAAAACAAUAUGUUAAUUACUUAUAUAAUUAAUUAAAACUUCGUUUUAAUUAUUUUUAAAAAGUAAAUAAAAUAUUUUUUAAAUUAAUUAAAACAAAAUAAAAUAAUAUUUCAAGCAAAUUAAAUAAUAUUUCAUUUUCAUUAAAACAAAAUUAUUUCUUUCAAAUAAUUCAUUAAUAAUUGAUUUCAUGCAUAUUUAUUUCAUGUAAAUUAUUAGUUUCAUGUAAACUUAAUAAUUUAAAUUAAAUAAUUUAAAUAUAUAUGAUUCAAAAUUUAUUUUUAACAUUAUAAUUUANNNNNNNNNNNNNNNNNNNNNNNNNNNNNNNNNNNNNNNNNNNNNNNNNNNNNNNNNNNNNNNNNNNNNNNNNNNNNNNNNNNNNNNNNNNNNNNNNNNNNNNNNNNNNNNNNNNNNNNNNNNNNNNNNNNNNNNNNNNNNNNNNNNNNNNNNNNNNNNNNNNNNNNNNNNNNNNNNNNNNNNNNNNNNNNNNNNNNNNNNNNNNNNNNNNNNNNNNNNNNNUUACAACAUAAAACAAUCAUAAAACAAGAAAUCAAUAACAAGAAAUCAAUUACAAAAAAAAUCAAUAAAACAAUCAAAAUAACAUAAUGAAAACAACAUAAUCACAACAUAAUCAAAACAAUUUCGAUUUCUUGUUUCUUGUUAAUAUAUUUGACCUAACAUUAUGAACAAAUUAACACACUAAUUUUAAAAAAAACGAACAUGCUCUGCUUGUGUAAGUGAAUCUACUACCGAUCCUAAUUUAGUAAAAUAAACACAGAUUUGGCACUUCAUUCUUUUGCCGAUCCAACUCCUAGUAAAUGAAAGAUCUAAUAAUAUCUAUCUACCUAAGAAUUUACACUAUCUUUGAAGGAAAUGCAACCAUUGAACAUGUAGGAAAUAUUACCGAGGUGUGUGGAAGUGGAGNNNNNNNNNNNNNNNNNNNNNNNNNNNNNNNNNNNNNNNNNNNNNNNNNNNNNNNNNNNNNNNNNNNNNNNNNNNNNNNNNNNNNNNNNNNNNNNNNNNNACGACGAUUCGGCAGGAGUAGGGGACGACGAUUCGGCGGCAGGAGCGACUCUGUCGAUUUGAAGAACAAGAAGCCGACUCUGUCGAUUUGGGGUUUUUAUUAAACCCCAAAACUUACAUGGCGGAUUUCCGCCAUGUAAGUACACUUAAGUGCCGCCAGCACUAAAGUGAAAGUCCGCCCAAUCGAAAUUUGGGCGGGCUUUUUCCGCCCGACUCCCCGAAUACUUAACAUGGCGGAUGUCCGCCAUGUUAAGUCAAUUUAAUCGGGUAAUCGGGUUGAAUAUUGGGGGAGAUUCGAAAUUUUGGGCGGGAUAGUUUAGAUGGCGGAAAUCCGCCAUCUAAACACCGCCAUCGAAAAUACAAUUGAACCGCCGUCUAGCCAAAACCUUUCCUCGGCGGACUAAAAGAAUAGAUGGCGGACAUCCGCCAUCAAAACAACUGAAGUAUUGAUGGCGGAAAUCCGCCAUCUAAAGGCCGCCAUACAAGGUCCUUUUUUUUGUAGUGGAGCUUUAAUCACAAAUUCGAUUUGUGUGGUUGACCAAAUGUGACGUCUUGCUUAUAAGAGUGUUAGUCAAUCAUAAAGGAAAAAUAACAUGUAAUUUAUGCUCAUUGAUAAAAUAUUGGAUUGAAGCCAAUUUUGAUAUACAUUAUAAGGCAAGUGUGAUAUGAUAAUUUAGAUUGCCUUGUGCUAAGAUAAUGCAAUGAAUAAUAAUCCAUGUGUGUGUUAUGGAUGAAGAUGAUCUUAACAUGUAUGGAUUAAAGAUUUUAUAAUGUUAUAAUCCAUAGGAUAUUAGUGAAUGAUAUGUAUAAAUCCAUAAUAUUCACUAAUUGCUUUAAGGAGAAAUUGAGCAUUUAAAAUUUUAAAAUCUAUGUCUUAGUGACAAAUAUAAUCAUGUAAAUAUUUACUAAGUUUUAAAAGAUUUAAAAUUUUCAUUUUAGUCCUUAAAGCCUUAGUAGUAAAACUUCACUUAAAAUAAAAUUUCAUUUAAGCCCUUUGAAGUUAUAAUCGAUACUUAGAUUAAUACUUGAAAUAUUUCAUUUAAACCUUGGAAGUAUUAACUAAUUCUAAGCACUUUUCAAUUUGAAAACUUCAUGUAAAUAUUAAUUUUAAGUUCCUGAAGUUUUAACUAAAUAUUUAUUCACUGUAAUGAUAUCCUUUUAAUGAAUAACUUCAUAGAUAAUUUAAUCCCUUUAAAGUUAUAAUGAAUACUUAGAUUAAUACUUAAAAAAUAUCAUUUUAAACCUUGGAAGUAUUAAAUAUUUCUAAGUAAUUUUUCUGAUUAAAACUUCAUGUAAAUAUUGAUUAUAAGUCCCUGAAGUUUUAACUAGAUUUAUAUUCACUAAUAUAAUUUUGAUCCUUAAGUUUUUAGUGAAUCCAUUAAAACUUAAAAACUUCAUAAACGAUUUUCGUUGAAGUCCCUGAAGUUUCAUAAAACUUUAUAUUCACUGGAAAAUAUAACUUUAAUCCUUAAGCUUUCAGUGAAUUAUUUUAAACUUAGAAACUUCAAACAUAAUUUAUGUUUAAGCCCUUGAAGUUUCAUAAAAUUCUAUAUUUACUGAAAAAUAUACCUUUAAUCCUUAAGUUUUCAGUAAAUCUUUUUAAACUUCAAAAAUAUUUUAUGUUUAAUCCCUUGAAGUUUUAAAGUUCAUGACUUUGAAAAGUCAAUUAAUACUUCAAAAGAAUUUUAAUUAUACCCUGAAGUAUUAACUAAUGUCCAUGCAGCCCUCAAGUUUUUGAUAUUGCUAAUAUUAUGUUUUUCUUUAUGCAUGCAUACCCUUAUGUUGAUAAGCUUAGAUGAUUAAAAUCAUAGAACUUCCAUUUCAACAAAAGAGGUGAUACAUGACCAGAUUAAUCUCAUAUUCAAUGAGACUACGAUCCAUGAAUGGAUCUCCAAAAUAACAGAAAAACAGACACAAGAUUAAGUACUUAAAACAUCAAAAUACUUCUUAGGGCAGAUGUAGUUCAGUCAUGGUGGUGCAUGGUUGGAAUGACCUUGGAGCUAAACUCAUGAAAUAGGUUAGCCAGCUCGAGGUUGUACUCUCUUUCAUCAUCUAGCUGUUGCCUUGUUAUAGACACCAUCUCUUCCAGAUCUCCCAUUCCUUUUUCCAGCAUCCUUACUUGAUGUCUAACUCUUAUGACUUCCUCAUUCAAAAACACAUUAGUGUUUGGUGAGUUUGGAUCAUAAGUGUUUCUCCAAGUCUUUUGGAAUGAGCUUGCAGUGAAUGGUUGAAUGUGAGAUAUGAUUGGAUGUGGAUAGAGUGGAAUUCCAAAGUACCCUGGACUAAGGAGUUUUGAAAGCAUCCUUGGGUAGUAGCGAGCUCCAGUGUUCUUGGUUGAUGUAGCCAGAUUGUGCAUGAUCAGUGAUACCCAGUUCACUCUAAUCUUUGACAGCAAGCAGUAAAUUGCUACCAAGAUCAACGUUGAUGGUUCUUCUCUAUCUUCAACUUGAGGAUAAAUAUUGUAUGAGAUGAUCUUCAAAAAGAUUGAGGCUUCUGGUAUGAGCAUUGUCUUUAGAAUCUUAUCAGUGCUCUUAGGGUUAUACCUGUGGGUGAGAGUAUUCCAGAGAAUCUCCCAGCUGCACUUAAAAGGUAGCUCAUCCAGACUUCUGUAGUUUUGAAGCUUCACUCCGUUGUUAGGUAGAUUUAUCCAUAUUCCAAGUUUAUCAGCUCCUAAAAUGAGAGAUAUUCCAUUUACCUUGGUGGUGAUGACUUGAGAACCUACUGUCUCAUACUUGAGAUUUGCAUAGAACUGAGCCAACUCAGAUUUGUAGAUUCUGAGCUGCCCUAUGUUCUCAAGGUAGUCAGUAAGCCUGUUGAAGUUUAGUAGUCCUUCAAUCACCUUGCAGUUGAGAGAUCUGAGUAGAACAGGUUCCUCAAAGAUCAUUCUUUGCUCGAGAAUGAGAUCAUAGGAAAACUUGGCUAUUGGAGAGAUCCAUGUUGGUGUUCCUUGGAAUAUUUCUGAUACUGGAAUCUUCCUGGUGCGUUUCUUCCGGAUGACAUUGCUGCUUGAGGGAUUAGGGUUGUAUACCGGACUGGAAGGACAGUCUGGUAUGAUUGUGAGUUCCUUCUUCUCAGGAUUGAUUUCUUGAAUCAACAUCCUUGGGACAGAAUGAAUCUUAAGAUGGAAGAAGAUGAUACGAUUGUUUCUCUUCCUAUGCUUAUAUAGUAAAUUGAUUCACCUCAAGCUUAUCAAAUGAUCUGUCCAGAUUCUUUAUGUACUGACAUUACUUGUGGAGUUACAAGUAAUGAAGACAUCUUUAAGUCAUGUCUAACUUUGGAAGGUUAGCAGCUUUUAGGGUUUGUUUUUCAAUAAACCCUACUUGGUGGAUAUGAACAAACAUAUCCUAAUUAGAUUUUUAGACAGAAGUUGUCUUUUCAGAUGUUUGGAAGAUCUGAUUUUAGAUAUGUUUUAUAUAUAUAAUUUAUUUAAACACAUACCUUUUGUACUAAACGACGCAUUCCUGAUUUUGCUUUAUCUUAACUCUUGCAGAUGAUGUUUGAUGUAUGUAGAGCAGGUGCAAGAUUUGCUUUUGCCCGAGCUACUUGCAGGAUGUUGUCGUUGCUGUUCAACUCAUAUAUCAGAUAUGGAGGUUGUAGGGUGAGUGACUGAUUGACCUUGUUGUGAUGUGUUGAGUAUGGUGGCUGAAUCUUCAAUACCGAGGUUGCUAGAGUGUGCAGGCAUGAGUUUGGAAGUUCUUUCACCAAAGUCGAGAAUGUUUGGAUUUUCAAGAUCAAGAAGAUUUGUCAUACUGAGUUUUGACAAUUGGCAUGUUUGCCUGUCCCACCUGUUCUUAGGAUAGAUAUAUAGAUUUGUGUACUCAUGUGAAUUUCGUAGUGACAUUGCAUGAGUCAACAAUUUUUGAGUGUUCAUCUUGUAUGCAUGAGUUGUUUUGAAAUCUUUAUGCAUGUAUUGCACAUCUUUAUUUUGCUUUGCAUGCAUAUUAUAUGUAUUAAUCAAAAGAUCAUAAGCAUACAGGUGGUUUGUAAAACAGACAUGCAUAGGAUCAGUUUCAUGAAUUGAUUAUGAAUGAACUGGCUUAGUAAGGAAAUAUUCAUGUUUAUGAUAUAUUUCUUUAACUAGUAUUAAAACGAUGGCAUUAUUCACAGAUAAUCAACUGUUUGAUAGGUGAUUGUAUGAACGCAUGAUGAGUGCAUAUGAUAUGUAUAAUGAAAGCACAAUUACAUAGUAUAUAACUAAUUGUUUCAGAUGAUUAUGUAGUUAAAUAUUUCAUAGAAGAUUUUAUAAAUCAAGCAUUUAUCAGAUCAUAUAUUUUAUAGAAGCAUAUAAAUCAAUGAGUAGGCAUGUAUUAAUGUGAUUGAUAUGAUAGACAUGCAUUUAGAUCUUACUAUAUCUAUUGAGUUAUGUGCGUGUAGGGCUUUAGUAUGUGAAUGAUAAAAGCAUGUAUGUUUAUUUAGAUCAUGUUAAGUUCAUAUGCAUAUAGAUCUACUUAGGCUUUAUUUGAGAUACAAAGCAAUCUAGGACAUAGUUGCCUUGUAUAGAUGAUUUUGUUUGUAUGCUAAUGUGUUGAUCUCCAAUGAUUUGUUCUGAGUUUCUGAGAUUCCUAUUUGAUGGAAGUUCAGAGAUGAUUGUUUCAUGAUCAUCUCUUUCUAAGGGAGUGUCAGAUGGUAUUUGUUGAAUGACUUUAAUUCCUCCUUCUUCUGUGUUUGGAAUAGAGAUAGACCCAUCAAAGUCAACGUGUAGGGAUUCUAUCAAUGUUUGUCUUUCUUUGAGAAGGACUCUAUAUGCCUUGCUCCUUUUUGAGUAUCCAACUAGGAUUCCUUCAUCAGAUUUUUGUGCUAAUUUAUCUUGGUUUCCCCUUGUUGUGAGAACAUAGCACUUACUCCCAAAUACUUUAAAGAAUGAAACUUUGGGUUUUCUGUUAUUCCAAAGUUCAUAGGGAGUUUUGUUUAAGGUCUUUCUAAUGAUUACCUUAUUAAGAGUGUAACAAGCAGUGCUUAUAGCUUCUGCCCAUAGAUAUUGAGGGGAGUCAUGUUCUUGUAACAUAGACUUACUCAUUCCUUGAAGAGUACGAUUUUUUCUUUCUACUAUUCCAUUUUGAGGUGGAGCUUGAGAAACAUCAAAUUCAUGCUUUAUCCUAUUGGAUAUACAGUACUCUUCAAAGUCAGAGUUUUCAAAUUCUUCUCCAUGAUCACUUCUGAUUUUUAUGAUAGAUGAACCUUUUUCAUUCUGUACUAGGGUACAAAAUUUAGAAAAUUCACCAAAGGUUUCACUUUUGUUUCUUAGAAAGAAUACCCAUGUAUAGUGAGAGUAAUCAUCAAUGAUUACAUAGGUGAAUCUUUUUCCUCCAAGACUUUGGGUUUGGGUUGGCCCAAAUAGGUCCAUGUGAAGAAGCUCUAAGGGUCUAGAAGUGGUUAUUUUUGUGAGGGAUUUAAGUGAGCUUUUGUGUUGUUUUCCUCUUUGACAAGCAUCACAGAUAUUACCUUUUUCAUAAGCUAUUUUAGGCAACCCGGUUACUAAUUCUUCUUUAGAUAAUCUAGAUAGCUUUGAGUAGCUGGUGUGACCUAGUCGUCUAUGCCACAGAACUUUCUCAUCACUUGCAGCAAGCAUGCAGAAGUCAUGAGUUGGUUUAGAUUUAUCAAAGUUUAUAGAAUAAGCAUUGCUUUUUCUAUAUCCUCUGGCAGUGAUAACUCCCUCAGAGUUAGUGAUAGAACAAUUGUAUUUUUCAAAUUUUACUACACAACCGAUAUCACAUAAUUGACUUAUGCUAAUCAGGUUGUGUUUUAGACCAUUUACUAAGUAUACAUUUCUUAAGAAUGGUUUUUCUGUAUUUCCUACAUUACCCCUACCUACUAUUGUACCUUCAUUGUUAUCGCCGAACUUAACCUUUUUAGUAGGCGGUAAGUCUAUCAAGUCGUUUAGUAGACUUGAUUCCCCGGUCAUGUGUCUUGUGCAUCCACUGUCGAACAUCCAUUUUGACACAUGCUUUUCCUGAAAAAGUUGAAAGAUCCUUUGGUACCCAUACUGAGUUGGGUCCUGAUGAAUUAACAUAUUUAAUCUGCUUAUAAUUUCGUAACUCAUCUUUAGUCAUCCAUCUUUGCUUUGGAUGAUUCACCUUAGAAUGAUUUUUCUUUUUCUUAAGAUGAAUGAACUUUGUAUUGCUAAAAUAAUUAUUAUGUAUUGAAGCAUGCAAAGGUUUUGUAUAACGAGAUUCCCUUACAAAAUGAUCAUUAUAAGUUGUGGCAUUUAGGGUUUUGUUAAUAGGUGCAUUUGACUCAAACCCUAAGCCAAAUUUCUUUUGACCCAAGUUCGAGCCUUGCAACAUAUUAUUUAACUUUGAUGAACUAUUGAAGAAUUUCUGAAGAACACUAUUUUUCUCAUUUAUUCUUUUAGUUUGUAAUUGCAUGCUAUUAUAUUUUUCAGAUAAUUUUUGUAAAGUUUCUUCAUGCUCAAGUAUGAGUUUAUCCUUAGAUUCUAUUUCAGUUUUAAGCAUGAUUGUUUCUUUUUCUUUAUUUCUAAUUGGUGAUACAGUAUCCCGAACACGUUUUAAUUCUAACAAUUCAACCCUAUCAUCAUUUAUUUCAUUGGGUUCUUUUUCUUCAUAUUCUAGAAUAUCAAGUAAUUCAAAAUUUUGACUCUUAAGUGUUUUAAUUUUUUUAUCUCCCUUUUCUAUUUUACUUAAGAGUUUAUGAUUUUCUUCUUUUAAUAACAUGCAUUCUUUUUGUGAUUCUUCUAAUUCUAUUGAAUGAUCAAUAUGUGAUUUAUUCAUGCAUUCUAGUCUUAAUGAUUUACUUAAUUUUUUGUCAGCUUUAUAUUUAUCCAUUAAUUCUAGAAAUGCUUCUUCUAAUGAAUUAAAUCUAGUAUUUGUAAAGUUUACCUCAGAGUCGUUCUCAUGAGCCAUGAGGCAGUCUUCUUGGUCUGACUCAGAAUCUGACCAGUGUACUUGAUGCGCUUUUUCUUUCUUUAGUAGAGGACAUUCAGGUCUGAUGUGUCCAGAUUUGUCGCACAAGUAGCAGAUGGGCUCUUUUGAGUCUUUGUGGUUUUUACUCACUUUUCUGUCGGAAUUCUGAUAGUCUAUCCUUGAAUUUCUCUUUUCUUUCCUUUUUAUGAGAUAUCUCUUUAAAUGAUUUGUGAGCAUUGCCAAGUCAUCAUCAGAUGAUUCAUUAUCGCUUUGACUUUUGAGAGCAAUGUCCUUUUUCUCCUCUUUUGCUCUAGAGAUAAAUCUUUCUUCUUCAUAGGCCAUCAGAUUUCCGCAAAGUUCUACCACUGUGAGUUUGUUCAGAUCAUGAGAUUCUUGGAUAGCAUUCCUCUUUGAGUAGUAUUUGUUUGGAAGGCUUCUUAGAAUCUUGCUCACUUGCUUUUUCUCAGUUACUGGAUCCCCUAGUCCAGCCAAAUCAUUGACUAUUUGUGAUAGUCGAAUGUUCAUUUCUGCGAUAGUCUCAUCUUCCCUCAUAGAGAAUCUUUCGAACCGAGAAGUGGCAUGUAGUAGCUUAUUUUCCUUGACAUGGGAGGUUCCUUCAUGUAAAUCCUCCAAAGCUUUCCAUACCUUGUGAGCUGUAUCCAAGCAUCGAAUUCUGUUGUACUCAGAUUCAUUGAGAGCGCCAUAUAGUGCAUUCAAUGCUCUUGAGUUGUUGUUUUCCUUGAGGAUAUCCAUUGCUCCCCAAGUCUCUUCUUUGCUUGUUGGAAUCUCAUAAUCUUCCAAUAUGAUUUUCCAGAUUCCAUUGUUGAUUGACUUUAAGUAUAACUUCAUCUUGUUCUUCCAGAAGUCAUACUUUACUCCAUCGAACCUGGGAGGUUUGUUCGAUGCAAGACCAGUACUGUUUUCACCAUUUGAAGCCAUAGUUGUUGUUGUAAGAUGUUAGUCUGACUUCAACGGAACAUGGCUCUGAUACCACUUGUUGGAUCGUGAUCCGAGGCUAUAAGGGGGGGUAAUAGCCUCUUUUCGAUUUAUAUAGGUUGAUUGCGGAAUUACCUGUAAAUGCUUGAACAAGUAAUGAUAUAAGGAUAUUAUGAUUUUGAUUGAUAUAAUGAUGUAAGUAUUACUCUCUGAAGCUUACUACAGUAUAUGAAUACUGAGUCAACUUGCUUGAUAGUGUUUCACACACAACUAUAGUAUAUGAAUACUAAGUUAUAUUGAAAACACAAAUUGUAAUGUAGAGUAAAUGACCAGAUAACUGGAUAUAUUAAUACGCAAGUAAAUGACCAGAUAACUGGAUAUAUUGAUAAACAAGUAAGUGACCAGAUAACUGGAUAAGUUGAUAAACAAGUAAGUGACCAGAUAACUGGAUAAAUAUGAUAAGUAAUACUUGAACAAAUAUAAAGAUUUAAAGCAAUGAAUAUAACCUCAGAUAGUUGACCAGAUAACUGGAUGAGGGAUCUGCGUAAAGUAGUCAACCUCUGUGUUUGACCAGAUAACUGGAAAAGGGAUCUUUUUAAUUAAGUGUUGUUUUUUAAAAAAAAUAGAACUAUAAUUAACAGAGAACAACACAAGAGAUUUAUACUGGUUCACCCAAACAAGGGCUAGUCCAGUCCCGACCAACUGCCGGAAUUCACUCGCCUAAAGGUAAUGGCAAAACCUUUCUAAGCUUUAAGGCUACUUCGCUUAGGAACCAGUCUUUUACGGGUAGACUCACACCUUAGAGUAUCAAGGGCACUCUUAAGAACCUCUAACUUUUACGGGUAAGUUAGUACCUUAGAGUAUCAAGGAACUCUUAAAAACCUCUCUAAGCUUUAAGGCUACUUCGCUUAGGAACCAGUCUUUUACGGGUAGACUCACACCUUAGAGUAUCAAGGGCACUCUUAAGAACCUUUAACUUUUACGGGUAAGUUAGUACCUUAGAGUAUCAAAGAACUCUUAAAAACCUCUGAAAUCUUUAAAGGUAGACUCAACCUAAGAGUUUUCCCGGAAACUCUAUAAAACCAAACUAGAGCUUUAUGGUUGAGCUCACAAACCUUCUCUAACACUUUGGUACUAUUGAGACAACCCUCUCAACCAAAGUGGACACACACAAGAGGUGAUUAGAGGAGUGGAAUAUUAAAGCAAACAAUACUUCUUACUUGUAAAGAUAAACAAGAAGAUUAGAAGAAGAAGUUGAAGAGCUUUUGAAGCUUUGGAAAGCUAGGACACUUGAGCACUUGAAAGCUUGGAAGCUUGGAGGCAAAAACGUGUGGGCAAGUGUGGAGUGAAAGCUCUUGAGUUUGCUUGUAGUGUGGUGAGUGAAAAUGAGGGGAUUACCCUUCUAUUUAUAGCCUUGGCCACUCAAUGUCCACCCUUGGAUCUUCAAUGGAUGGCUCCUUGAUUUCUCACAUAAAUCCAAGCUUUGUCUUUGAUCUUAUCUUGAAUAGUGUUUUUCUUGGAUAGAGUUUGUUGGAGAAUCUAAUCUUUGUAUAAAUUCAAACUUGAAUAGUGUUUUGUCCCCUUGGAAUAUUAUACCUUGAAUAAAGUGUCAAAAGAUAAUAAUAAUAAUAUUCAAGGUAAAAAUGCAAUUAUUCCAAAUAAUAAUAUUCAAGGUGAAAAUGCAAUUAUUCCAAAUAAUAAUAUUCAAGGUGAAAAUGCAAUUCUCUCAAUUUGACUUUUAACUUUGACUUAAACCCUUAACUCAAAUGAUUAAUUAAUUAACUGGAGUUAGGUUUAAUAUCGAUUGACUUAUUUAACCCUAUUGAUUAAUAGUGUAAUUAGGGUUUAAAUUGACAUGAUUAAAAUAUAAUCCUAUGUCGACAAUUUUGAUUCUACAGUACGGUCCUAUCGGCCUUGGGGUAUGUGAAUUUUUUUUUUUUCAAAAUUUUUUAUUUCCCGCCCACGUUCUUCUAUAAAUUCGUUUCACUCUCAUUUUCACUUCUUACCUUCACUUAUUCACUUACCAGAGCUAGGGUUUUUCUUCCGCCGACUCUUGCGUUUUCUCCUAUGGCUGAUCUUCACUCCUUCGUGGAUGGCAUGCAGUUUGACGGUAACUCUAUAACCCCUUCUGAAAAUCCUCCCUCUGUUCUUAGUCGGCCGCAGGCCCGUCAUCACUUUCACGGGAUCGCCCCUGGUGUACCAAUAGCUCACCUUAGGGUCCCUGAUGAUGACCCUGCCUCUUCGCCUCCUCCUGGUUAUACCGCUCUUUACUCAGAUUUCGAGGACCUAGGGCUCCGGCUUCCCGCCUCCCCCUUUCUCUUGUCUUUUCUUUCGUAUACUGGUGUUGCUAUCUCCCAGCUUUCUCCUUUUAGUCUUGAUCGAGUUGUUUCGUUCGAGCGAUUGUGCCUUGAGCUGCACAUUGAGCCCUACGAACGAGUAUUCCGACUGUUUUUCUCUGUCUCCCGACCCAAUGCCGCACGGCUUUUGGUUUCUUCUCGAAUACGGUGCAAGAUUUUGGAUCCCUACCCCGAUCGUUCACAUAGGUGGAAAAAUCGUUACUUCUUUGUGAAGGCCAAUGUGGUGGGGUUGUCGGGCGUCCCUUCCGGAUGGAUAAAUACUUCAUCUUUUGACGCUCGGCCACUUUCCGUAGGAGAACUUUCUCCGGAGGAACGUGAGGCGUAUACUUGUCUCUUAUCUGUCCGUGCGAGUCCCAUUGAUUAUACUAGUCUAAUGACUGGGAACUGGAAACUUACUCCUCCGCAUCUCGUUCCCUCUGGUAAACUAUUUUUCGACUUCGUUGAUUUUUUCAUUUUUCUUUCAGGCGACUUUGAUGAAGGAGGUUUGUCGCGCUUGUUUGCAGGAACUGGUACGCACGGGAAAAGCAGCAAGAGGGCCCGUACGGAAGUUGAUCCCGAGGUUGGUGAAUCUUCGCACGGUGCUUCCGGAGGAGAUAUGGGGAUUCUGAAUGAAGAUGUAAUGAAGUAUAUCAACUUUUCGGACGCCGAUGUUACUACUAGCGGGCACAAUCCUGGGGACCGUCUGAUUGUGACCGAACAUAUGCAAGCUCCUCGGAUUGCAGGGAUUUACGAGCGGGCACUUGGUCGACUGGAUCCCUUGAUUGAAAAGGAAGAAGAUUGGGGGAUUCUUGAGAAAAAAGACUCCGACGAUAUUGACGACGCUUGCUAUAUUCGUGCCCUUCAGGUUGUGGCUAUCGAACGUUACCGGUAGAAAAGAGGUGCCCGGCGGACCCGCGAACUUAAUGAUGCUUUGGAUGAAGUUACUCGCCUGACCAAUGAACUUUCCCUAAGGGACACUGAGAUCGAAUCUCUUAAGAAGGAGAGGGACGAUGGAGCCGCCCAGAUUGUAUCAAUACAAAAGGAUGUCGAAAGUGCGAAGCUGAAUUUUGCCGAACGUGCCAAGUCUAUUACCGAUCGGAACAAGCGCGCUUGUUUUAAGAAUUUUGUUGAAGGUAUGGUUCACGAGCGGGACAUGGUGAACCUUCGGAGUCCCGAGUAUGAAUCAGUUGUUGUACCUGUGAAUCCUCACAUGUGGGGGAAAUGACAGGCGCAUGGGAUCUCUGAAGAACACCCCCCUUGGCCGAAGACACUUCAGGAUCUUACGGGUGAUGCAGAUGAUAAAUAGAUGUUAAGUUUUUUGUAACGUACUUUUUAUUUUGGACUUUGUUCCCAUGCUUUGUACUUGACUAUUUCCCGUUAUUUUUGCUUUUGCUUGCUUUAUGACUUAUCUGUUCGUCCUUGCUUGUGCUUCAUUUACCCUACGACUUUCCUUCUGAUGCAUUAUUGCUUGUUUCCUUGUCCCUUUUUUCCUACGGCCUUUUGUGUCGCAUAAUUGCUUACGCUUCCGAUGUCUGAUGGGUGGAUUACCUUUGACCGACACGAUUGCCCUACGGCCUUGCUUUUGGUCUUUCGACCUUAUUGCCCUACGGCAUUUUUAUUUUGGCGGGUGGACUCAUUUGAUCUUUCAAUCUAAUUGCCCUACAACAUUUUUUCUUUUUGGUGGAUGGCCUUGCGUGGUCUUUUGACCUUAUUGCCCUAAGGCUUUUUUAUUUUGGCGGGUGGCCUCACUUGGUCUUUUGACCUAAUGCUCUACGACAUUUUUUACUUUGACGGGUGGUCUCAUUUGGUCUUUUGACCUUAUUGCCCUACGACAUUUUGUGACGGGUGGCCUUGCUUUAAAAAAGAUUUUUGUAUUUAAAUAAAAUUGCCCUAAGGCUUUUUGUUCGUUAUGUACAAUAUUUGAUUAUUGAAAAUACCUUGAUAGAUUGUCCGAGUGCCAAGUUCUUUCUAUUUCUUGGUCAUCCUCGAACGCUAACUUGUAGAUUCCCGGACGGACUUCUUCGAUAACUACAUAAGGCCCUUCCCAUUUUGGGGAUAACUUCCCUUUAGUUUGGUCUAUCCCUGUGAUUCUCCCGUUCCUUAGCACAAAGUCCCCUAGACUUAUCUUGUUGCUGCGGCUUCUCUCAACUCUUCGCAUCUUUCUCUGGCCAGUAAGAUAGCUAAGUUGUUAUCAUCUGGAUUGAAUUUCGCAACUCUUGCUGUUGGCCAUACUAAUUCCGCUGGGGCAACUGCAUCUAUCCCAAAGGUCAGGGUGAAUGGUGGAUGUCCCGUCGGGGUCCUUACGGUUGUUUUGUACGCCCACAUUGUUUCCGGUAUUAAAUCUGCCCAUGUUCCUGGGUUGUCCCCUACUUUUCUUUUAAGUAUAGAUGUUAUUGUUCGGUUCGUAACUUCGACCUGCCCGUUCGCUUGUUGAUGAUAUACUGGAGCGAAGCUUAACUUUAUCCCACUAUCCUUGCAAAACUUCUUUACUUUUUCCUCAGUGAACUGUGUCCCAUUAUCUAUUAUUAUUUGUAACAGGACACCAAAUCUACAGAUGAUAUUUCUAAAGAUGAAUUGAAUAACGUUUUGCUCCGAUAUUGUAUUUGUUGGCUCUGCUUCUGCCCAUUUAGUGAAAUAAUCGACCGCAACAAAUAGAAACUUUCGACCCCUCGAUGCUACCGGAAAGGGUCCUACAAUAUCCAUUCCCCAUCAGGCAAAUGGUGCUGGUGUUGUAAUUGGGUUCAUUAUGCUGGAUGGCUUUCUUUGAAUGUUCGCAUGUCUUUGGCAUUUAUUGCAGCUUCUUACCAAAUCCUCAGAGUCCCUAUCUAUUUGUGGCCAAUAGUACCCCUGUCUUGCUACUUGUUUUCCUAAUAUUUUGGCCCCCUGGUGUGGACCACAUGUUCCACUGUGUGCACUUGUUAAUAUCUCUUUUCCUUUUUCGCGUGUUACACAAAUCCGUAAGGGAAUGCUGUCCUCCACCGCCCUACGGAAAAGCUCGUCCCCUACAACCAUGAACCAGACUGCUUUAUUUUUUAACUUUCUUUCUUCCAUCGGAUCCGUUGGAACUAUUCCUUUUGUGAUGUAGUUUUUGAUCAGUGUUCUCCAGUCUAUUUCCUGCGUCAGUGAUAAAACUCUAUUUUUCACUGUUUCAACUAUGGAUGGUGCCUCUUGUUGUUCUAUUCGGACCCAUCGUUCCUUUGGGUUACUUGGUGAUGCUCCUAACCUUGCCAGAACGUCCGCCUCAUUAUUGUCUGUCCGGCUUGUGUGAUGAAGUUCUCAUUCCGUAAAAUACUGCAUUAUGUUUCGUGCCGCCUCCGUAUAUAGACUCAUUCUUUCCUCCUUAGAUACGAAUUCCACAUUAACUUGGUUUUCUACUAAGCGUGAGUCCGUAUGGAACUUUGCCCGUCUGGCUCCCAAGCUUUCUCUAGCCGUGCGCCUGCUAACAGUGCUUCAUACUCUGCCUCGUUGUUUGUUGCUCUGAAUCCAAAAUUUAUCGCGUGUUCUACCUUCUCUUUUGUUGGGGUUUGGAUCACGAUUCCUGCUCCACAACCCGAAUUACCUUCCGACCCAUCGACGUAAAUGGUCCACCAUUCUUCUGAAUUUUCUGCGUUUGAUGGUGUAAAUUCUACCAAAAAGUCGACAACCGCUUGUCCCUUGAUUGCUUUUGCUGGUAUGAUACUUAUAUAAAAUUCACUUAAUUCGACAACCCAUUUUGUUAACCUUCCUGAUACGUCCGGUUUAUGCAACAACUGUAACAACGGGAAUUCCGUAGGGACAGUGAUCAGAUGUGCCUGAAAAUAAGGUUUUAGUCGUCUUGCUGCUGUUACCACUGUCAAUCCCAACUUUUCAAUUUGCGGGUAUCUUUUUUCUGCCCCUUGAAGGGCGCGGGAGUAAUAAUAAAUGGGCUUUUGUGUGCCCCCUCUUUCAGAUACUAGAACUGCACUGAUAGCAUUGUCGGACGCUGCUAUAUAUAACUUCAAUGGUUCCCCCGGCAAGGGGGGCUACAAGGUUGACAAAUUUUUCAACUGCUUCUUUAGGCGUUCGAACGCUUCUUCGCACUCUGCCGUCCAUGCUACUUUUGGACUGGACGACUUUAUUAACUUAAACAGAGGUUGCAGUGUAUCUGCCCCUCGGGCCAAGAAUCUACUAAGUGCAUUUACCUUUCCAUUGAGCUUCUGGACUUCUUUUAUUGUUCUUGAUGGGGUCAUUGAAAUUAUAGGCUCGAUUUUUUCCGUACGGGCCUUAAUCCCGUUGGGUGUUACUCUGAAACCCAAGAGUGCCCCUCCGUGACUCCAAAAGAGCACUUCUUUGCCUUUAACCGUAAGCCCACCUUCCUGAUGCUAUUGAAAGUCUCCUCCAGAUCUUUUAGGUGUUCUGUGGCUGCCUUGGAACAGACUAGGAUGUCAUCUACGUAUACUUCAAGAUUCCUUCCGAUCUGGUAUUUGAAUAUCUGGUCCAUAGCCCUUUGGAAUGUUGCUCCUGCAUUACGUAGCCCGAAAGACAUUACUUUGAAACAAAAGGUACCUAUUUCUGAUAUAAAAGAGGUUUUUUCUUCAUCUUCUCGAGCCAUGGGAAUUUGGUUGUAACCCGAGUGUGCAUCCAUGAAACUGAGCAAUUCACAACCUGACGCUCGGUCAACCAGGUGAUCUACCGAUGGAAGAGGAUAUGAAUCCUUAGAGCAUGCUUUGUUUACAUUUGUGAAAUCUAUGCACAUUCUCCAUCCCCCAUCUGCUUUCUUUACCAUUACUACGUUCGACAACCAUUCCGGGUAUUUCACUGGUCGAAUGAAAUUUGCUUCAAGAAGUUUUCGUACCUCUUCGGCUGCCGCUUCCUUCCUGUCCCUCCGUAAUGGCCUCAUCUUCUAUCUUACAGGACGUAUAUGUCUCCCUACGGCCAACCCGUGUUCCGCAAGGUUCCGUACGACCCCUUUAAGUUCUCCUACAUCUUUAGCAAAUAGAUCUUCAUUCUUUCUGAGUAAUUUUAUAAUAUCAUUUUUUGUUUCCUGCAGGAGUUCGGCUCCUAUCUGUACAAUGCGCUCCCUAAUUCUACUGAAACUGUGGCCGAAGCAGGUUCGGGUUUUGGGCGUUCCUCCCUUAUUGUAUGUGGGGGCCCAUCUUUCUCACCUGCUGCAGCCAUUACCUGCCCUGUCGAAUUUAUGUAACAUUCCCUUGCUUUUUUCUGUGAUCCUUUAACUGUGCAUAUUCCUGCUUCUGAUGAGAAUUUUAAACAUUGGUGUAAGGAUGAUGUUACCGCCUCGAACGCGUGUAGGGCUAUCCUGCCUAAUAUUGCGUUGUACCCAGAUGAAAAUGGUACUACUGAAAAUCUCACUCUUACUGUUGUCUCUUGCGCAAAUUUUCCUAAUGUUACCGGGAUAUCUAUUGUUCCUAGUACUUGGACUUCUCCCUGGUCAAAACCUGUCACUGGUGUGCUGCAUAGACCCAGAUCAGCCCUGCAAAAUCCAAGUUGAUCGAAUGCAUUCCAAUAUAACACAUCUACUGAAGCCCCCUGUGUCCACCAGUACUCGGUUUAAUCUGAUUCUUUGCUUAUCCUCCCUCUGUACAAUAGGUGUGAUGACUAACGGGUCGUGAUAUGGGACUGUGAUUCCCGUCAGAUCUUCAUCUGAGAAACGAAUGUCUGCUAAUGUUUUGAUUUUUUUAACUCCAUCCGUCCGACUAAGGUCCUCUGCAUACCUUUUACCUUCAAAUCCUACUCCUCCCCUGGCCGCUUCGCCUCCUGAUAUUGCGAGUAUUUCACCUAUGUUUCUUCCUUCCCGAUCGUCCCUAGGGCCUUGAUGUCCUGUGGGGACCAAUGCCGUACGCCGAGGCGGGGGAGAAGGUAUUCUUUGCUGUGCGGGCGGUGGGCCUUGUGCUUCCUGCUUUUUUUCGAGUUCUCUUGCCAGAAUCCAACAUUCAGCCGUAGUAUGUCCUAUAUCUUCAUGAUAUUCACAGUAUCGGUGUGGGUUUCGGUGUACUGCCGUUUCCGUGCGCAUUGGGCGAGGUUCCGGAAGUACCCGUUCAUCUCUUAGUGCUAGAAAUACCUGUCGUUGGUUCGGAAGCGAGGUGACUCUUGGUGGACCGUAGUUUGGAGCGCCUUCCCUUGGAAAAGUGCCCCCUCGCGCCGUAUUCUCUGAUGCCUCUCUACUUUACGGUCUUGUCUCUAACCUUGGUUGCUUUUGCUGCAUGUUCUGGUCGUAUUGGCCUUUCGGCCUUUGACGUAUUAGCCUAUAUUUUGCCUCAUGGUAGUCUUCUACAUUUGACUCUUUAUACGAUCUCUCCAUAACUUCUGCAAAAGUGGAUGGAAGGUCUCGUACUAGAUCCCUAGAAAAUCUAGUCGGCCUUAAUCCAUUAACUAGUGCCAUCAGGACUCCUUCUUCUGAACAAACGACUUUUUGAACCGCCACUGCAAACCGGUCCAUAUAUUCCCGCGUCGAUUCUCGAUCUCUAUGUACAACUGUUAAUAGACUUGUAUUCAGCCCCUUUCGCCUUAUUUUAUGCCCGAAGGCAAUUUUGAACGUCCUCUCCAAAUCAUUGAACGAAUUAAUGCUUCCUUCAGAAAGGUUUCUGUACCACCCAACAGCCUCGCCUUUUAAUGAUCUUCUAAACGUACGACACCAAAUGUCCUUUCGCCAUGUAGUAUCCUCCAUUUCCGUAUGGAAUGAAUGGAUGUCGUCCUCUGGGUCUGUUGUACCAUCGUACAUUGUCAUUUUUGGGGCCCUCCACCCCAUCGGGUAAUCUUCUACCAGAAGAUGUCGUGAUAGGGCCUCUUCACUGCCCGUCGACAUGGGCUGGUCCAGAUAGUCAAUUGAUGGCUGUACGGGUGCCAUGUCGCUUCCUUGUGCAUUUCUGUUUGUUAAUGAUAGAAUUCGCUCCUAAAGCUGCCUUUGAUUGUUCUGCAACUCCGUGAUAAUUACAAGGAGUCGAUCUUCCCUCACACCUUGUGACUCGGAUAAUGCUCUCCUAUAUCCACUUUGAUCGUUCAUGUGCUGCUCUGGUGAUCUUGAUCGGCUUUGUCCCGACCAACUAAUAGAAAUAUUAUCCCCUGGAACUGGCCUGGUAACCAGCCGAGGGUUUUCCCAUGUGUUGUGGUUGAGGAUGAUAAGGUGCCUCUUCAAUGUUUUCCUCCAAACGCACCGGUCCAUCUACGACGUGAUUUUCCAUAGGAAUUGGUAGUUGUUGAUCUUCGCAUGCUUCCACCGCUGUGAUUCCUACGUUUUCCUCCAUCUGAAUUAUUCGCUCCGGUUGCUCUGAAUCCGUUCACGUCAGGUUCACCACUGAUCGUGUGGUAUAAGAUAUAUACUGACCGUAUAGUUUAGUAUAAGGUAUUACAAACAACAAUUGUUUCUCCCCCCUCUAUAUUUCACCCCUAGGGGUAUUUAUACAGUUUCCUACCGGUUCCCGGACCUUGAAUUCUCGGACUAAGAUCUGACCCGACAAGGUUGGGAUGCAACCAUUGGGGAAAUAACCGUCCGGGUUAAGACCCGUCGGGCGCCCUGGGUCUUCCUCUUGUUUACUGGACCUCGAUUCUGGAUUCUCGCAUUGACCUGGGUUGAUGGACUAAGGGUACCAUCACUUACAUCUAAAUCUAAUGGUGAUUUAUAUAGUUUAUUAUUUAAAUCAUUUAGGAGUGAAAAUCUCCAUGUAGACAUUUCAACGGUCUGAUUUUCAUUAGAAUCGUUAUCCUUAUAUAUAACAAGAACUACAAUUUAUAAGCUCAUUUAUUCAUUUUAUUUUUUUAAAUUAAGACCUUGGUAUUUUAAUAAUAUUAUACAUAUAUACACCAUCCUCAUCUUAACAACCUCCACCUCCACCACCUCCGCCACCGCCACCGCCACCGCCGCCACCAUCUCCGCCACCGCCGCCGCCGCCACCAUCUACGCCACCGCUAAAGCCUCCACCACCGAAAAAGCCUCCACCACCGCCACCAUGAUGACCACCACUAAAGCCUCCACCACCGCCACCAUGAUGACAACCACUGAUGAUGGCACCAACCACUAUGAAGACCGCCACUAUGAUGACCGGCACUAAAAUCUCCACAUCCAUGAUUACCACCACUAAAGCCUCCACUACCGCAACGAAAAAAGCAAGUACGGUUCCAAAUAGAAAUAUAUUAUUGUUGGAUUCAUGGCAAUGAUUCCUUAUUUAUACACAGUGGCAAUUGUCAAAAUAUAUCAAAGUCAAAAUUGGCGGGAAAGAUGCAUAGGGCACGACACGGUAUUAAAAUUAAUUAAAAUAAAUUUCAAUUUGAAAAAAAACGAAACUCGGAUGAAUUAAGAUUAAAAAAACUCAGAAAACUCUAAAUUUCCUUCCAAAAUUCAAACCGACCAAAAAAGUAUUUUGACUUUGUUUAAUAAUUGAAAUAUUUAAAGAAAAAGUGGGAAAGAAUCAUAAGUUGCUGUGAAGCAACCU
RNAcentral lists this long non-coding RNA (26230 nucleotides) under Zostera marina. RNAcentral's name for it is "long non-coding RNA (ZMAR_LNC000759)". Lineage: Eukaryota; Viridiplantae; Streptophyta; Magnoliopsida; Alismatales; Zosteraceae. The record is from RNAcentral.